Molecule: ribosomal RNA, 1343 nt
Filed under: uncultured bacterium
Lineage: Bacteria
Description: bacterial SSU rRNA
Rfam family: Bacterial small subunit ribosomal RNA
Source: RNAcentral
AGGGUUUGAUCAUGGCUCACAACGAACGCUGGCGGCAUGCCUAACACAUGCAAGUCAAACGAGACCUUCGGGUCUAGUGGCGCACGGGUGCGUAACGCGUGGGAAUCUGCCCUUGGGUUCGGAAUAACAACGAGAAAUUGCUGCUAAUACCGGAUAAUGACGUAAGUCCAAAGAUUUAUCGCCCAAGGAUGAGCCCGCGUAAGAUUAGCUAGUUGGUGAGGUAAAGGCUCACCAAGGCGACGAUCCUUAGCUGGUCUGAGAGGAUGAUCAGCCACACUGGGACUGAGACACGGCCCACACUCCUACGGGAGGCAGCAGUGGGGAAUAUUGGACAAUGGGCGAAAGCCUGAUCCAGCAAUGCCGCGUGAGUGAUGAAGGCCUUAUGGUUGUAAAGCUCUUUUACCCGGGAUGAUAAUGACAGUACCGGGAGAAUAAGCUCCGGCUAACUCCGUGCCAGCAGCCGCGGUAAUACGGAGGGAGCUAGCGUUGUUCGGAAUUACUGGGCGUAAAGCGCACGUAGGCGGCUUUGUAAGUUAGAGGUGAAAGCCUGGAGCUCAACUCCAGAAUUGCCUUUAAGACUGCAUCGCUUGAAUCCAGGAGAGGUGAGUGGAAUUCCGAGUGUAUAGGUGAAAUUCGUAUAUAUUCGGAAGAACACCAGUGGCGAAAGGCAGCUCACUGGACUGGUAUUGACGCUGAGGUGCGAAAGCGUGGGGAGCAAACAGGAUUAGAUACCCUGGUAGUCCACGCCGUAAACGAUGAUAACUAGCUGUCAGGGCUCUUAGAGCUUUGGUGGCGCAGCUAACGCAUUAAGUUAUCCGCCUGGGGAGUACGGUCGCAAGAUUAAAACUCAAAGGAAUUGACGGGGGCCUGCACAAGCGGUGGAGCAUGUGGUUUAAUUGGAAGCAACGCGCAGAACCUUACCAGCGUUUGACAUGGCUAGUAUAGUUUCCAGAGAUGGAUUCUUUCAGUUCGGCUGGCUAGCACACAGGUGUUGCAUGGCUGUCGUCAGUUCGUGUCGUGAGAUGUUGGCUUAAGUCCCGCAACGAGCGCAACCCUCGACUUUAGUUACCAUCAUUUAGUUGGGUACUCUAAAGUAACCGCCGGUGAUAAGCCGGAGGAAGGUGGGGAUGACGUCAAGUCCUCAUGGCCCUUACGCGCUGGGCUACACACGUGCUACAAUGGCAGGUACAGUGGGCAGCAAUCCCGUGAGGGUGAGGUAAUCUCCAAAACCUGUCUCAGUUCGGAUUGCAUUAUGCAACUCGAGUGCAUGAAGGCGGAAUCGCUAGUAAUCGCGGAUCAGCAUGCCGCGGUGAAUACGUUCCCAGGCCUUGUACACACCGCCC